Molecule: long non-coding RNA, 894 nt
Organism: Saccostrea cuccullata (small rock oyster)
Lineage: Eukaryota; Metazoa; Mollusca; Bivalvia; Ostreida; Ostreidae
Exons: 6
Source: RefSeq, a predicted model, not a curated record
UAGGCCUACAAUAUUAAAGUUGGACUCAUGUACUAGGAAUAUCAUUUCUUUAGCAGAAUUAUCCCACUGAAUUAAAAGGAACUCUUUUUUUCAUGUGCGCAUGAUGCAACUUCCUGGAUGGUGUGUAGGCUGUUUGUCAACAUGUGAAUCCCACGUGCAUUUUGGGGAGUUGUCUCCCCUUGAAAAGAUCAAUAAUGGCGGAUAAACAAUGCGGCAUGCAGUCUGGUCACCAACGGACAGUUUUGACACCCGUAUACCUGGAUUUCUACCAAUUACCUCUGUAACCUUUGUUGUGUUCAUCACACAGAUGAUAUUUCCUUUGACAACAGGUGCCCCGGCCUACAGAUUCACAAAGUUCCAGUGUUGAGUUUCCAUGACCCCUAUUCAUCCACAACAGGAAAAGGAAUAGAGUUGACAGGACUUCCCGCACUGUCCCUGGUAGCAGUUUAUGAGGAAACCAACCGCAGUAGACAUAGCACGCUUCAUCAAAGAUGCACCAGAUGCAGCGGCACUGUCUCCAUCAUUAGUGAAAUGGGAUAUGAUUAGUGGACGGUCAUCACUUAGUAACUCACCAACACAAUUAGUGGCCCAUCUCUUCUCAUCUCCAAUGGUGGUCUCAGGAGGAAUGGUUGCAGUGCAGUCUUCAUGUCCUGGACAGGUCUGUUGCAUGUUGGCGGCUGAUGCUGGUUCAAUAUUUGCACCAAGAAACAUACCACGGAUACCCUCUGUUGUAAGACUGAUACCCAAGUGACCGACAGCCACGGCCACAUUCAGCUGUGCAGCUCUUUGUCCCCUGCAAGAUCUUUAAGCUUCGCGGUGACUGGUAAAGUGGCUCUUCUUAAAUUGGAUGGAAAGGAUCCAUGCCAGGCCUCCUUUUUCCUCCCCAUGCCGAUA